This 438-nucleotide long non-coding RNA is filed under the name Gorilla gorilla gorilla (western lowland gorilla). RNAcentral's name for it is "lncRNA (ENSGGOG00000044688.1)". The record is from RNAcentral. Lineage: Eukaryota; Metazoa; Chordata; Mammalia; Primates; Hominidae.
UAUAAUUUAUUUUCUUCCUCUAGGCAGCACUCAGAAGUAUGUUCUCAGAAUAAUUCCUGAUCCUCUGUGAGUUCCUGGUGCAGCUCCUGGAGGAAAAGCCUGCAUGGGGGAGGGAGCCCUCCUCACAUGCAGCCCUGAGGCUGUCACGUCACUUCACCCACCGUUGCCCUUCAGUCACUUCCUGAACGCUUAUGAGUUAAUCUUCCUGAAACAUGUGGUAUAUGGCAGUGUCUUUCCCAGGCUGCACCCUUUACAAGGAGUCUCCGGUGGUACAGCGGAUUUUCCUCCAUCCUCCACUCCCCCUCCUGGCUGCAGCAUCCACAGAUUAUUUUCUUGAAUCUGACCCCAGUUGUUUAUUAAUUAUACCCCUUUUCAUGACGUGGGAAGGCUAAGAUGAAGCUGUCUGGGAUGGAAAAGAAUCCCUUCCUCUCACAUAGA